Long non-coding RNA from Cygnus olor (mute swan), 8209 nucleotides. RefSeq lists it as uncharacterized. Lineage: Eukaryota; Metazoa; Chordata; Aves; Anseriformes; Anatidae. The transcript is spliced from 13 exons. The record is from RefSeq and is a predicted model, not a curated record.
CUUUUGGGACAGGGGACGGCGUCUGGCAUCCGGCCUAGUGAUUUUUUGUUUUUUCUUUUCUCCCCAGCCACCAGGCAAAAUUGUGCAGGGGACUCACGAGUCAAAGGAUGCAGGAUCUGUUAGGAGCACAGGCUUGGGCGCAGCAAUCACUCUGUUUUCCCUCCUGGUCCUCUUCCCAGCAGCAUGGCCGGACAAAACUGGAGACGAGCAAGUGAGCUGCUUUGUUUUUACUAAUAUUUAAUGCUAUUGUGCAUGGGGAUACACAGUUAGUCACGUUGUUCCUGAGUAUCCCUGGACUGUUUGUUUUUCAGUGUUCAAGUAAGGGGUCAGUCUUUGGAGGACCAUACCACAUGUGUCUGUGCCCGAGCAGUCACAAAAUUUGCCAAACUUUGCACAAAUUUCUGGCAGGCUUGGCACAAAAGCACAAGCAAAAUGAGUCACAUCUCAGGUGAGUCCCACGCCCCUCUUCUGCAGGGCUCCAGGUUUGCUCCCAGGUGGUGGCAGAGGGUCAAGCCUGCCAAUGCGGUCAGCUAAAACAAGAGGACACAUAAGUCUCUUGACAGUGAACUGCCUCGGUGUUUCCGAAACCAAACUGUGGGUGGUGGCAGGGGAGGAGCUGGAUUCAGAUAUGUGGCUUUUCUUGAUCUGUUCUGCUUUCUGAGUCACUCAGCCGGUGUCUGUCGGGUGGGCUGGCUGGUGUUGCUGGCUCCCCAGUGCUGCCAGGAGCCCUUGGCCUGCUGUGGGUCUCCUCUGGACCACCUGCCUCUAUGUCACAAUCCAGCUUCUCCUUCUCUUUCUCUCUGGGGAUGUAGCCUAAAUGCCUCCAUCAUACUGCACCCCUACUGUGCAGCAUUACACCUGACUGUUAUCCCAGCUGAAGGAUUGCCACAACCCACCCUGUAGCCUGGGGUGUACAGAAUGCCUCAGGGCUCUCACUUUCUGGCAGCACUGCUGGGAUAGGGCUAAGGUCCAAAACUGCUUUGCAGCUUGCAGGGAGCCAGCUGUCCUGUUCACAAGGGGCUGGGGAGAUCCUCGAGCUUUACCCCAAAAACUAAAUGCUCCGCUGAGCCUCAUCUGCAAGAAGUUGCUUUGACUAAUAACAGGAUCUCCUGGCAUUCACAUAGGGUUAGAAAGACCAGAGUUGCUUAUGAAACAGCCCACUCUUCUUCUCGAGUCACUUGGUAAAUACUGAUUGUAACACAGUGGUUGCAUAAGGUCAGAGCUCCUUUCAGUGCGAUGGAGUGUGCUGGAAAACGGCAUCGUUCACCACCAGGAAGAGACCAGGACGAGAUCACCCCUCGCACCCAGGCACCGCAGGCUGAGCUUCCCUCCUCUGCAGCGUACUGCAGCCACCGGCCUGUCGCAGCAGCUGGCUGGGCUCUCCUGCCACGGACUCGGUUCAGAGGUGUCCGUACAGGGAGAGGUCAGGCAUCACACAUCUAGCCUGGGCUCCCAGCAGCAGCAGGGCCCAGUGGUUCAUAAAUCAUCGUCUGCAGCCUGCUCCAUUAACGUGCAUUAAGGCGUGUGCAUGGAUUUGCAUAGGAAACACGUGCCUCGUAACUCUCCCGUUUCAUCUUCGUGGCUGCUUCUAUUUCUGAUAAUCCCCAGGUUCCUGAGGCGUUUUCCCAUAGGGCACAGAUCUUCCACCUGCUGGCAACUCGGGGUGCCCUGGCACACGGAAUAGGAUACCUGAUGUUGUUUUUUUUCUUAUCCCCUCUCUACCCUUGCUCUGGAGGGAGGACAUUUGCUGCUUCUUGAGGCUGUGAGAUGGCUUUCAGGAAAAGGUCAACAUCCUGCAGGUCCUGGAGGGCUCUGCGGGUCUUCUCACAUUGCUCCCCUGGGGGCCAGAGGUUUUCAGAGGCCACAUGCCACGUGUGGCACCCUGCACAACACCUUUUGGUUGCUAAAAACAGGCAGUAUGUGACAGGACUGGAGUACACCAAGAGUUCCUAAAUAUCCUCGUUGGCCUCACCUGGACUCCUAGACCCAUUUAAGCCCAGGCCCUGGCUUGGAGCCUGGCCUUCAGGCUGUACAGGACCAUUCCCUUGUCCAGGAAAGAUGUUUUUCUUGCCUACAUUUCUUAAAACCUGGCAGAAAUAUGGAGAAUUGUGACUGUUUUGCUCAUCUGCUGAAAAGCACCACUGCUAGCUUUUUUUUCUGCCUAUUUUUUUUUGCAGGCUUUAGGAAAAGUGGCCUUUUCUAGCAGAAAGGAUGCAAGCUAACUAUGCAUCUCUCAGAAAAGCUGGGGUACUGUGGUGUUUGUUGAGAUCUGUGAACAGUCCCAUGCCUAACGUUGUCCUCCCUCGGCACCACAGGCUUGAGUUUGGUGGCAGAGGGUGACACACCCAGGCAGAAAUGGUGGUUCCAGAAACACAGUGAAACCAAAGCACCAAAACAAAAAGUGUCUGCAGCUACAGAGCCCUGGGGAAGUCACACUUCUUUCUGACCAUCUUGGUUUUAGGAAAGGCAAUGUGACAGCAGCCACCAGCUGAAGCUUGCAAGGGAUCUGCCAUUGCAGAUGGCUAUAACCAGCACUGCUGUGUGCAUGGAGACCAUGCAGGGAGCACCUGGUUGUCUUAGCAUGGCUGUGCCCGGAGAUCAAACAUACUCAGAGUAGCAGAAUGGAGCAGAGCCCAGAGCUGUGAGAAUGCGCAUUCACUGGAUUGUUGAGUGGACAAAAAAAAAUCAGUGUUCCUGAAAGACUGAGAUCAUCCCCUCUCCGUGUUUUUCUUGUGCAUCACUGAGUAUCUCUUUGGUUUUCUAUUAUUUCGAUCCUUUCAACCUUAACAGGACAAGAGAAUGAAAUAUGCACAUAUGUAUGGAUUUCCUACUUUUUUUUUUUUUAAACUAUAUUUUAAGUUUUGGACCACUUUUCUUCCAACUGUUCAUUUGCACUACCUGACAGUAAACCUUCAGUGAGAGAGACUUCUUCUAGAUCAGGGAACUAACACAUGGUGAAAAGGAGGAAGGAAAUCCCUUUCUCACAGCCCAAAGACUGACUGCCAGCAAAUUACCAGAAAAGCAACUCUGGCAACAUUCCCCUGGCUACUUGAUACAGGAACAUCUCAUCUGCUUGUAAGGCUUUGAGUCGACUUGCUAGGAUUGCUCCAGCUCCAUUUUGAUCCUGGGAGCCUCCCAUACAAACCUACUUCUGAAUUUCCCAUGAAGAACUGAUGGAGGAGCAGACUUCUUCCCUCCCUUUCACAGCUGGGUUCAUCUGUCCAGAUUGAGAUCUCCAGUACCAUGCUAUUUCUGUGCUGGCAGGAGCUGAGAGCACAUAAUAGUGCAGACCAGUGGUGUGACGUGUUUUCAGCACUUGCAUUAUCAUGCAGCAUCUUCUUGUCUGAGGAGGACAGAUAGAAUAGCCCUUGGAGCGCAUGGCACAUACCCACCUCUCUAAGACCUCUUUGUGCUUAUCAGGAACUCUCUUUCCACUUGAGAUCCCCACACAGCUGUUACGCUGCUGUCUUCUGGUGUGAAAAGAGAAAUCCUCCAGCUGGAGAAGCAAAUCACCUGCUCACUUGCUUCUUUUCUGUAUCAUCUUCUGGAGGCCGAAGGCAUAGCAGGGAGGAGGACAACUAGCUCUGCAGGCUGCUUAUGAGUGCUGCCUGUUUUUGUGGCAUGAGGCCAGCUGGGUUGCCCUUUGGUGGUGUGGGACUGUAAAAUGGAUCGGAUGGUGUGUGGUCUCCAUGCUCGAGUGCUCAGGGUGCUGGCUCAGAGGAGUAAUGGAGCACUCUCUGAGACACGCGCUCUCCUCCCAUUGAUUCAGCAGGCUGUUCUCUUCUGUCUGUCUGAGCUUGCGGGCUUUUUGAGGCCAAGGCAGGAUGAAUGAAACUCUGGUAAUUACUACAACAUGAAUUCAGAAGGAUCCUAUUGGUAGGGUUCAUCAGCAACUCAUUAAUUAAACUGUUGCCAUGGUGCCAGUUGCCCUGGUAGCAUGAAAUCCUUUCUCCUCCCUUUCCCCUCCUCCUCUGCAGUUCACAGGAUUCUCAUUCAUAUUCUUGUGCUUAACAUGAAUGAAGCCAGAGAGCACGGGGCUAGGGGAAGAGGCACUUGUGGAGAGAAGAUGCCUUUUUCCCCACUGUGACUACCCCCUCAUGGGCCUGAAUAAUCACUCAGCUCUUCCCCUGUGUUUUUCUUUCCUUGGAAACACAAAUUCUGCCUCAUACACAUCCUGUCUUUUUUUUUUUUUUUGGUUGCUUACAGCUCAAAUCCCAAUUACCCUGAGCACCUGUGUUAUUCUGGGUUCUUGGAAUGAGUUCCUGUGAUUGACAGCGGUGCAAGUAAAGGGCUGGGCGCUUUAUCUGCAGCCUAAUUGCAAAGGCUUGGCAGUUUUCUAGAGGCUGUCCACCUUCAUAGGACACAGCAGUGACUCCCCCCAUGUCUUCUGCUUUGUGCCUGAAAGCUUCUGGCUGAGCUGUGAUUUCCUUGCCAGAAGAUGCCUCAUCUUAGUAUAAACGUUGAUAAUGAUGGAGAACGCUGCACUCUGUGGCAACCUGUCCAUCCAGGUGUCUAACCACUCCUUGUUGCCAAGAAUCAGCCCCCCCAACAUGCAUGAUGAAUGUAAAACCCUUGUGAAAGUGCCAUGAAAGCUGGAACCCCUGGCACAGGACAGCACCUUCUUCCCUGGUAGCUCAGAGCCAGCACGUGUGACUGCACUGGUGUUACUGUGGAGCUUCUUGAGCACAAAUACACAGACAAAUAGAGACAGACCAACUGCCCAUUGCAGUCUGUUGCCAAAAUAAUUUCAGCCCAUCUGAGGACAAAGCAAGAAGGACCCCACUUUUCUCAUUGCCUCUAAAUUACUGUGUGAGUAAGAAAUGCUUGUAUCUGCGGGGAAAAGCUGCCUGUCCUAGAGAUGAGAAACCUGGUGCAGCCUGGCCUAUCUCUUUGUGGGCUAUUACUUGGUUUCUCACUGUGGUUUUCCUUCCCCUCGAGUUUUCUGCACUAAUUUUGUAAUAACAGUUAGUGCUGGGUUUCAUAAACAGACAUACAACAUGCAAUUAGAGUUUGCUUUGUGUGAAAUAAAGUAGCUGUGAGUCAUAUCCAGACAAGUGAAUUAUCUGUGAUUAUUCAGCCAAGAAGGGAGACAGUGGUGUGCAGAGGAAUGUGCUAUGUAUCCUUAUUAACAUUUUGCUAUAUACCAUGGCAGGGCUGGCUCCUUGGGAUGUCUGCAUACAAACAGCAACACGACUGACUCCUCAGAGGCCAUGUUCCUCUGCUACUAAGACUUAUGCAUCAUGCUUGGUCUUUCUCUGUUCCUAAAAAGAAUAAAAGGGGGGUUACUUGGUAGACACAAGCGUCUUUAGGAGUCUGAAGUUAAAUGAAGCAAAUCAUGUAUGUGGGGAGGAACACGUAUGAAAGAAGUCCCUUGAGGGAAGAUAGCAAAAAAUAGGUUUUCAGCAGUGCCCUUGGUUGAUGUGCCUGAUGAAUCUAUUCCUUUUUGUCCUCUGGGAAUGAAAAGAUGUCCCAGGAAGGGGCCUUGGGGUGCAGAAGGAACUGGGAAGCCUUUUGGGGUGAGAAGUUGCAAGCUCAGUGAACCAAGGUGUUUUCUGCAGUGGCAUCACAGCACAUUUCUUAUUUAUUGCCAGGUAGGAGACUUACAGGCUGUGACUCUGCAGUGAGGAAAGCACAGACACGCGAGCCAUUUCCUGAUGGCAGCCAGGGAGAGAGAGUGACGAGGUGUGGGCAAUGUGGGCAGGGAGCAUGCAGGUUGCCCGCUUCACACAGUUGCAUACUUGUCACAGGAGGGGUGAUUCUGAAACCAGUGGUGCUUCUUCAAGGGCAGGGUCACUUUCAGGGAGGGAGUAGGUAAGAGUUGCUAAACAGCAUCUUCCCCGUCCCCAGCGCAUAGCUUCAACUGCCCAAGGAAGCUUGUUUGCCAUCCAUUGCAGGGAAUCUGUUGACCCUUCCUCAUCCAGUUGCAAACGCCUUCAUCUACAAAAUGACAAGGAGAAAUGCUUAAUCCUCCACGAUGAAUCUAACAGAUGCUUCUCCCAGGAAAUGAACUAAAGGUUGCAGCUUUGCUUGAGUGACUGUGAGUCAGGAGACCUCCUCCUUGUCCCAAGUCUGAGAGAGGAAAGUCUGGGACCAGCCAGACUGUAUAUUUUUUUGCAUGGGUCUGAAAUAGAAUCAGCAGACUUUAAAGCUGGUAUACCAAAAGAAAAUGAUAGCACAAAACCCAGCCAAGCUCCUUGGAAAUGUAAAUAGACCGGAAACACUGAUGUCCUCUUAACACAGCAUCAAUCACUGCUGGGUGCUGGAAGUGGCAGCACAUUCAUUAUGGUCUACGUAACCAUCACAAGCAGCAGAUGGAGCAGGUUUAAGACCUAACAGUGGAGUUUUGGAGCAAGAAGCCUGCUUCUGAGAACAACAAUGGUGUAUUAUGCAUACUUUGACUUCUUGGCUGAUGCGAGAUAAAAAAGAGGGGAAGGUGAAUCAUCUUCUCUGAAGCACUGAUGAAUACACACGAGGCUUUCAGAUCACAGCUCUGUGUGGUACAAUGAACAUUUUCUUCACGCCUGAGAGCAAGUUUUUUUAAAAUUUAUGGAGGAAACAGAGCAUUCAGAAAACAAAUCUACACUUCUCUGAGUGCCAGACCAUGUCUCUGAGCACUGUAAAGACAAUGGAUGGGAGUGAUCUUCCUCCCGACAUAAAAAGUGCAGAAGAAGGUGUGAAGCUCUUACCCUCGCCGUUGAAACAAGUCCCAGAAGAACUGAUGUCAUUUUAUUUGGAACAGCUGCUAUCUGCCUGUACUGUGUGGAGAGCCAUAUUUCGGCUGAGUCACCAAGGCCCGCCACACCCUGCUCUGUAGCACUUGCUCUCCAUAGCGAUUUAAUAACUCACAUUUACUGCAGAACUGUUAUUCAUAUCUCAUUAGAUUUUGUGGGAGCUUCAGCAGUAAGCAACGUACAUUGUCAUGGUUCACAAAGCUGUUGUGAUACUUGCCAACCAAGAGGAAAUUGCAUUUUCCCCUGCUGUAAAGCAGCUACGGAGAUGGAAGCUAUGAAAUUAGUCAGCCUUAACAUGCAUUAAUCAAGGAAGGGAAGUUGAAGAUGCCCGUGGAGAAAGAUGGGCUGAGAGGCUCGGCCUAGAGGCUGGGCCUAGAUACUGGGCCUGUCUUGGGUAUGAGCAGUAGGCAAGAUUCUAAGUGGCCAGUCUGGAGAGACCAUGCUGUCAUGAGAGCAGGUGAAACCAGGAGAAUGAUGAGGACAGCACCAUUAGGAGCAGCAGGAGAGGGAAAUCUGGAAAUAGCAGGUCUAACAGAGGCUCUCCUUAGCCACCUGGGAUUUCAGACUUUGUUUUGUGCUCUGUGGGACGGGUAGAAUAUGAGCACUGGAAGGGACACAUUUGGCUCUGCAUGUUUACUACUCUAACGUUGUCCCUGUAAAUGUGGCAGGUGACUGGUCUGCAUGGCUUGUGUUCCCUGUAAGUGUGGGUCUGCAGGUGCCAGACUGCAGGCAAACCUCCUUUGCACAGGAAGAUGCUAUAUCCUCCUUCCGUGCAAGUAAUGUUUUGCUUUCUUAUGGGGUAGCUCUGACACCAAGACACAGAGACUUUCUACAUAUGUCAUUGUGCAGGAAGAAAGAAGAACCAGGAGAGAAAAGCUGAUGUAUGCUUCCUCUGGGAAAAGUCCAGAGGUUUACUAUUGCUGUGUUGGAAGAGGAGGCACACAAAGGAAUCACAAGCCAGCACAUGGACUGCCAGGAGCACUGGACUCCAAGCAUGGCAAGAAAGAAGUUAUUUCCUGUAACUUUCCUGUAAAACAAACAAACAAAACAACAAAAACACACCACCACCACCAAAAAUGAAACAAAACAAAACACCACAACAAUAAAAAAAUAGCUUCAUCCUUUUCAGCUUUUUUUUGUUCAAUUUGUUAUUCAGCCCCACCCCCUAAUCCUCACUCCAGUUUAUAGGUAGAGUUGUGAUAUUUCUUCUCCUGUGUAUUAAGAUCCCUGCGUGGAAGAUGAUUGUCUCUGGUGCUGAAUACAGCUUUUGGGGGUUGAUACAAGACUGAUUCCAUUCACGAAACUUGAAGUGACUUUGCUCUAGCAAUAUGAAAUGGGAGUACAGCUCACCUUGCAGAUGGUUGCCUAAAAUAUUAAACAGUGAUUCACCAUUACUCACUGUCUCAUCAGCUCAUAAAUUUAAAAUAACUCCCCUUUCCUUUCUUUUUAUUUAAGGAAAAAUAAAAGAAGUAAAGGUG